CCGCCCAGCAGGCGACGUUGCGGGCGCUGGGCGCCAGGAGAGGUUCCCGGAGCCGACCUUCCGGCUGGCCGCUCUGUGACUGCUUCCCGGCUCUGCCCUCUUGGCUGAAGUCCCCGCUGCCGGGCGCGGGCCUCAGGUAACGGUGGU
Macaca mulatta (Rhesus monkey) is the source of this 147-nucleotide non-coding RNA. Lineage: Eukaryota; Metazoa; Chordata; Mammalia; Primates; Cercopithecidae. The record is from Rfam.